This 86-nucleotide non-coding RNA is filed under the name Pseudomonas asplenii. The record is from RNAcentral. Lineage: Bacteria; Pseudomonadati; Pseudomonadota; Gammaproteobacteria; Pseudomonadales; Pseudomonadaceae.
UUCUAUGGCGGCUGUGUACGGGAGACCUUCGGGUCUGCCGGUUCUUUGGUUCCCGGUUCGCUAACCUGUGCACAGCUGCCACCCUA